AAAAAGGGCUUCAACAACGUCAGUGUUUCGGACGGCGACCUUAAAUGGGAGUUGUCCGCGGAAUCUAAAUCAAGAGAUUUCGGAAGCACAAUUUUUGCUACUGGGAAAACUGGUAACCGAUUGUUCCGGUGUCCCG
Small nuclear RNA from Syngnathus acus (greater pipefish), 136 nucleotides. RefSeq annotates it as U11 spliceosomal RNA. The transcript has a single exon. The record is from RefSeq and is a predicted model, not a curated record. Lineage: Eukaryota; Metazoa; Chordata; Actinopteri; Syngnathiformes; Syngnathidae.